Molecule: ribosomal RNA, 466 nt
Filed under: uncultured bacterium
Lineage: Bacteria
Description: bacterial SSU rRNA
Rfam family: Bacterial small subunit ribosomal RNA
Source: RNAcentral
GAUGAACGCUGGCGGCGUGCCUAAUACAUGCAAGUCGAGUGAACCACUUCGGUGGUGAGCGGCGAACGGGUGAGUAACACGUAGGUUAUCUGCCCAUCAGACGGGGACAACGAUUGGAAACGAUCGCUAAUACCGGAUAGGACGAAAGUUUAAAGGUGCUUCGGCACCACUGAUGGAUGAGCCUGCGGCGCAUUAGCUAGUUGGUAGGGUAAAGGCCUACCAAGGCGACGAUGCGUAGCCGACCUGAGAGGGUGAACGGCCACACUGGGACUGAGACACGGCCCAGACUCCUACGGGAGGCAGCAGUAGGGAAUCUUCGGCAAUGGGCGAAAGCCUGACCGAGCAACGCCGCGUGAAUGAUGAAGGCCUUCGGGUUGUAAAAUUCUGUUAUAAGGGAAGAAUGGCUCUAGUAGGAAAUGGCUAGAGUGUGACGGUACCUUAUGAGAAAGCCACGGCUAACUACGUG